CUCGAUAGAAUACGCCUUCUCAAUUUUCCGUUUGUUGUUUUAGUUGUAGAUUUUGUCUUGCAGUCUGUCGGCUUAAAUGGGCAUAUAUAACUUCAGUAGUUUACAAUCGAAUCAAUCUCGAAAGAUGGACUUCAAGCUUCUACUUCUCGUCGUUCUUAUCAGCUAUGUGCUUGGCCAAACUGAGGGUGUUGCCCGACGUCGUUAUUAUGCUCCAUCUCGGGGGUUCGUAGGACAUGCAGAAAUAGUCAAUCCCAACAGCGUUUACGACGAGUUGGAUCACUACAUCUUGUGGCAUACAGAUUGGAAGGGAUGAAAAGUGUGAUGUUUGUUUGUGUUUUUAAAGUUAAUCAUGGUGACUAAUUCGCGAUCCGUGUGAAGCUUUUAUCGCGAGAUCGACCUAUCUGAUUAUUGCUGAAAUACAAAAAAAAAAACGAUUAUUGUA
Non-coding RNA from Ciona intestinalis (vase tunicate), 442 nucleotides. Lineage: Eukaryota; Metazoa; Chordata; Ascidiacea; Phlebobranchia; Cionidae. The record is from RefSeq and is a predicted model, not a curated record.